This 630-nucleotide ribosomal RNA is filed under the name uncultured Lachnospiraceae bacterium. RNAcentral describes it as "bacterial SSU rRNA". It matches the Rfam family "Bacterial small subunit ribosomal RNA", at positions 68 to 713 of the family's 1533-position model. The record is from RNAcentral. Lineage: Bacteria; Bacillati; Bacillota; Clostridia; Lachnospirales; Lachnospiraceae.
UGAAGCUUCGGCAGAUUUAGCUUGUUUCUAGUGGCGGACGGGUGAGUAACGCGUGGGUAACCUGCCUUAUACUGGGGGAUAACAGCCAGAAAUGACUGCUAAUACCGCAUAAGCGCACAGAACCGCAUGGUUCGGUGUGAAAAACUCCGGUGGUAUAAGAUGGACCCGCGUUGGAUUAGCUAGUUGGCAGGGCAGCGGCCUACCAAGGCGACGAUCCAUAGCCGGCCUGAGAGGGUGAACGGCCACAUUGGGACUGAGACACGGCCCAGACUCCUACGGGAGGCAGCAGUGGGGAAUAUUGCACAAUGGGGGAAACCCUGAUGCAGCGACGCCGCGUGAAGGAAGAAGUAUCUCGGUAUGUAAACUUCUAUCAGCAGGGAAGAUAAUGACGGUACCUGACUAAGAAGCCCCGGCUAACUACGUGCCAGCAGCCGCGGUAAUACGUAGGGGGCAAGCGUUAUCCGGAUUUACUGGGUGUAAAGGGAGCGUAGACGGCGCAGCAAGUCUGAUGUGAAAGGCAGGGGCUUAACCCCUGGACUGCAUUGGAAACUGCUGUGCUUGAGUGCCGGAGGGGUAAGCGGAAUUCCUAGUGUAGCGGUGAAAUGCGUAGAUAUUAGGAGGAACACCAGU